Molecule: ribosomal RNA, 403 nt
Filed under: uncultured bacterium
Lineage: Bacteria
Description: bacterial SSU rRNA
Rfam family: Bacterial small subunit ribosomal RNA
Source: RNAcentral
AUUGAACGCUGGCGGCAUGCCUUACACAUGCAAGUCGAACGGCAGCGGACCUUCGGGUGCCGGCGAGUGGCGAACGGGUGAGUAAUAUAUCGGAACGUACCUUUCAGUGGGGGAUAACGUAGCGAAAGUUACGCUAAUACCGCAUAUUCUGUGAGCAGGAAAGCAGGGGAUCGCAAGACCUUGCGCUGAUUGAGCGGCCGAUAUCAGAUUAGCUAGUUGGUGAGGUAAAGGCUCACCAAGGCGACGAUCUGUAGCGGGUCUGAGAGGAUGAUCCGCCACACUGGAACUGAGACACGGUCCAGACUCCUACGGGAGGCAGCAGUGGGGAAUUUUGGACAAUGGGCGCAAGCCUGAUCCAGCCAUGCCGCGUGAGUGAAGAAAGGCCUCGGUUGUAAGUACGUAC